UCCCUGGUGGCUCAGAUGGUAAAGAAUCUGCCUGCAAUGCUGGAGACCCGGGUUCAAUCCCUGGAUUGGGAA
Molecule: transfer RNA, 72 nt
Filed under: Bos taurus (domestic cattle)
Lineage: Eukaryota; Metazoa; Chordata; Mammalia; Artiodactyla; Bovidae
Also listed under: 5 other names
Rfam family: tRNA
About the family: Transfer RNA (tRNA) molecules are approximately 80 nucleotides in length.
Source: Rfam by way of RNAcentral